GGGGACGCAAUGGUUUCGACGGGAAUGCAGAACAUUUGGGAGCGGGUAGUGGUGCGGAGCCACUUAAAAAUCCGCAAAUUAAAUAUAAUCGACAAUAACGAUUUAGCUUUUGCUGCCUAAUUAGGCGGCUGUCCUGCCUGCGGUAACCGCGCCAAGGGGUCAGGGCAUCAUGAAUGCGGUGAACGUGAGCAGCUUAAGCUUUGCGGCUGCCAUGACCAAUGAAGCUACUAAACCUUAAGGUUUGUUUGUGAACCUUAAGGCGAGGGAAUGUAAAUCACAAACUGCACCCGGAGCGCCCGAAUCGGAAGUAUUUUCGGACAGGAGUUCGACUCUCCUCGUCUCCACCA
This 347-nucleotide transfer-messenger RNA is filed under the name Congzhengia minquanensis. Its description in RNAcentral is "Standard tmRNA". It matches the Rfam family "transfer-messenger RNA". From Rfam's summary of the family: Bacterial tmRNA, also known as 10Sa RNA or SsrA, is named for its dual tRNA and mRNA-like properties. RNAcentral also lists the same sequence under 2 other names. The record is from Rfam by way of RNAcentral. Lineage: Bacteria; Bacillati; Bacillota; Clostridia; Eubacteriales; Oscillospiraceae.